CCUACGGGGGGCUGCAGUGGGGAAUAUUGGACAAUGGGCGAAAGCCUGAUCCAGCCAUGCCGCGUGUGUUAAGAAGGCCUUCGGGUUGUAAAGCACUUUCAGUGGGGAAGAAAGCCUUGGGGCUAAUACCCUCGAGGAAGGACAUCACCCACAGAAGAAGCACCGGCUAACUCCGUGCCAGCAGCCGCGGUAAUACGGAGGGUGCGGGCGUUAAUCGGAAUUACUGGGCGUAAAGCGCGCGUAGGCGGUCUGAUAAGCCGGUUGUGAAAGCCCCGGGCUCAACCUGGGAACGGCAUCCGGAACUGUCAGGCUAGAGUGCAGGAGAGGAAGGUAGAAGUCCCGGUGUAGCGGUGAAAUGCGUAGAGAUCGGGAGGAAUACCAGUGGCGAAGGCGGCCUUCUGGACUGACACUGACGCUGAGGUGCGAAAGCGUGGGUAGCAAACAGGAUUAGAUACCCGAGUAGUC
Molecule: ribosomal RNA, 465 nt
Filed under: Vreelandella stevensii
Lineage: Bacteria; Pseudomonadati; Pseudomonadota; Gammaproteobacteria; Oceanospirillales; Halomonadaceae
Description: partial 16S ribosomal RNA
Rfam family: Bacterial small subunit ribosomal RNA
Source: RNAcentral